UCAGAUUUCAGUUGUGCUAACUUGAAGGCAAAAUACAUAAAGUCCACAAAAUAAAAAGUUGCAAGUUCUUCAUGUUCAAAGGACCAUUUGCUGAAUUGUUAGCGUGCAACAACAACCAAAAGAUCGUACUUCAGACUAUUAAGCUCGUGGCCUCACCAAACAUGGCGAAGAAACAAUUGUUAUUUGAAAUUAAGUACAGCGGACUCAUAUUCCAUAAUUGUAUUGUCACUAUAUAAAUUAAGGUGUACACAGAAACUUCACAAAGAAAAAGCCUAUGAAUUAGGGAAUGAUAUUUACACGUCUUGACCAAGUCAUCUGCAAUAUAAUUGUAAAACAGAAACCUAUUAAAUGGAUUUGACGAGCUGCCGGAGGCUAUUAUCAUGAUGUAUCUACAAUAAAUGCAGUUGACAUGUCAAUGGGGAAUCUUACACUUGUUGGGUCUCAAUGUCUUU
This 452-nucleotide long non-coding RNA is filed under the name Elaeis guineensis (African oil palm). RNAcentral's name for it is "long non-coding RNA (EGUI_LNC073121)". The record is from RNAcentral. Lineage: Eukaryota; Viridiplantae; Streptophyta; Magnoliopsida; Arecales; Arecaceae.